This 301-nucleotide ribosomal RNA is filed under the name uncultured bacterium. RNAcentral's name for it is "partial 16S ribosomal RNA". It matches the Rfam family "Bacterial small subunit ribosomal RNA", at positions 509 to 807 of the family's 1533-position model. The record is from RNAcentral.
CAGUAGCCGCGGGAAUACAGAGGGUGCGAGCGUUAAUCGGAUUUACUGGGCGUAAAGCGUGCGUAGGCGGCUAAUUGAGUCGGAUGUGAAAUCCCCGAGCUUAACUUGGGAAUUGCAUUCGAUACUGGUUAGCUAGAGUGUGGGAGAGGAUGGUAGAAUUCCAGGUGUAGCGGUGAAAUGCGUAGAGAUCUGGAGGAAUACCGAUGGCGAAGGCAGCCAUCUGGCCUAACACUGACGCUGAGGUACGAAAGCAUGGGGAGCAAACAGGAUUAUAUACCCCAGUAGUCCCUGUCUCUUAUAC